Molecule: non-coding RNA, 87 nt
Organism: Bacteroides nordii CL02T12C05
Lineage: Bacteria; Pseudomonadati; Bacteroidota; Bacteroidia; Bacteroidales; Bacteroidaceae
Source: Rfam
CGUCAGUCAGUAAUGAUAGUAACAACGAAUGUCGAGAAGUCAGCAGAGGUCGUAGUAGCCGACAUCGAGUAAGUCAAGGCGAAGGAC